UCGUCAUCCCGAGGUUACAGUCGUCACAGUCGCCACGGACGCCUUUCGGUCAGUUCUUUCGGUUGCUACUUUCUUACCCUGGCAGCAGCUUAAAUCGCGUGUGGUUCGUCUUUCCCCCCCGCUCCCCUCCUUACCCCGUCCCCAACAAUCCAUCCCCCCGUUCCCCUCCUCCCUUAAACCCGCAGUUGGCAAACCAUUACGACACGGUUGGACCCACCUUCAGGCCGUUAAGACAGUCCAUCGGGGCCACCGCCGUGUUUACGAAUUGUGUGCAGCGCCGCCGUGCGGGUUUGCCGUACAAGGCGGCGCUGGUGAACAUGCUGGAGGCGACGUGACCGGACCGCAGGUACAGCUCUGUUGUGAGCGUGUGUGUGCCCCUGGCCAGCG
RNAcentral lists this long non-coding RNA (387 nucleotides) under Volvox carteri. RNAcentral's name for it is "long non-coding RNA (VCAR_LNC002745)". Lineage: Eukaryota; Viridiplantae; Chlorophyta; Chlorophyceae; Chlamydomonadales; Volvocaceae. The record is from RNAcentral.